Molecule: ribosomal RNA, 589 nt
Filed under: uncultured bacterium
Lineage: Bacteria
Description: partial 16S ribosomal RNA
Rfam family: Bacterial small subunit ribosomal RNA
Source: RNAcentral
UGGGGAAUUUUGGACAAUGGGCGAAAGCCUGAUCCAGCAAUGCCGCGUGUGUGAAGAAGGCCUUCGGGUUGUAAAGCACUUUUGUCCGGAAAGAAAUCCUUGGCUCUAAUACAGUCGGGGGAUGACGGUACCGGAAGAAUAAGCACCGGCUAACUACGUGCCAGCAGCCGCGGUAAUACGUAGGGUGCAAGCGUUAAUCGGAAUUACUGGGCGUAAAGCGUGCGCAGGCGGUUUGCUAAGACCGAUGUGAAAUCCCCGGGCUCAACCUGGGAACUGCAUUGGUGACUGGCAGGCUAGAGUAUGGCAGAGGGGGGUAGAAUUCCACGUGUAGCAGUGAAAAUGCGUAGAGAUGUGGAGGAAUACCGAUGGCGAAGGCAGCCCCCUGGGCCAAUACUGACGCUCAUGCACGAAAAGCGUGGGGAGCAAACAGGAUUAGAUACCCUGGUAGUCCACGCCCUAAAACGAUGUCAACUAGUUGUUGGGGGAUUCAUUUCCUUAGUAACGUAGCUAACGCGUGAAGUUGACCGCCUGGGGAGUACGGUCGCAAGAUUAAAACUCAAAUGAAUUGACGGGGUCAUAGCUGUUUCCU